Rhineura floridana is the source of this 754-nucleotide long non-coding RNA. RefSeq lists it as uncharacterized. NCBI's taxonomy places the organism in Eukaryota, Metazoa, Chordata, Lepidosauria, Squamata, Rhineuridae. The record is from RefSeq and is a predicted model, not a curated record. The transcript is spliced from 2 exons.
AGAGAGUUUUAAUUAAACAUUGGACAAAUAAAGAUCUGAGUAUUCAUUUUUUAUAUGUGGAACUGAGCAGGACUUCCUGUAGGCACACCAACAGACCAUAUAAAAAGGGCUCCCCCACAGUUGGUUACUCCACAAGUGUCCGAUACUUCGAAAACAUCUCAUCAGAUCCACUAGGAAAGCAGAUCAACCCAACCUGCUCUAAGAUGACAGUAGAUGACAGCCUCUCCUUGUUUGACUCCUUCUGUCAAUAUCCUUGCUACUAUCCACCGCUUCAGCGUCCCUGGUGGCGAUUUCCCCGUCGCUAUGUCCCCAGGUGGUGGGGCCCCUGCUAUCCUCAAUGGGGUUGUGACACCAGCUAUGUCCCAAUACCUUGGGGCCCCUGCUAUCCUGAAAGGUACUACCCUGGUGGCUGGCCAUGUUAAGCCCAGACGUAACUUUGACAGAUCAUCCUGGAAAGAAGACAAGAUUCUGACCCUUGGCUGAAUGGAUGGACGUAGGAUUCAGAAGUGCCGAGUGCUCCACAGACCCUACUGCACAACUGUUGGGAUUUGUGAGGGCUCAGUAUGUCUGUUAAUUCAUAUGAUGCUUUGACUUUAUUGCUUUGGCUUCCUGAUCUUUGCAUGCAUACUUCUUGUUUUGGAACAGGCUCCUUUUCCGCAGCCACACCCAUCACCUUGUAUUUGAGCCAUUUGUGAUGUGCUUACAACCUCUGGCUCCUUCAUUUUCUCAUUAAAGCGUAUCAUAUAUCAUAGAA